UACGUAGGGUGCGAGCGUUGUCCGGAAUCAUUGGGCGUAAAGCGCGUGUAGGCGGCUUGGUAAGUCUGCUCUGAAAGCCCGGGGCUCAACCCCGGGAGGCGGGUGGAUACUGUCAAGCUCGAGUCCGGAAGAGGAGUGUGGAAUUCCUGGUGUAGCGGUGAAAUGCGCAGAUAUCAGGAGGAACACCAAUGGCGAAGGCGACUUACUGGACACAUAUUGACGCUGAGGUGCGAAAGCGUGGGGAGCAAACAGG
This 253-nucleotide ribosomal RNA is filed under the name uncultured bacterium. RNAcentral's name for it is "partial 16S ribosomal RNA". It matches the Rfam family "Bacterial small subunit ribosomal RNA", at positions 524 to 776 of the family's 1533-position model. The record is from RNAcentral.